AGUAACGCGUGGGCAACCUGCCCCGCACUGGGGGACAACAGCCGGAAACGGCUGCUAAUACCGCAUAUGCGCACAGCUUUGCAUGAAGCAGUGUGGAAAACUCCGGUGGUGCGGGAUGGGCCCGCGUCUGAUUAGCUGGUUGGCGGGGCAACGGCCCACCAAGGCGACGAUCAGUAGCCGGCCUGAGAGGGUGGACGGCCACAUUGGGACUGAGACACGGCCCAGACUCCUACGGGAGGCAGCAG
This 245-nucleotide ribosomal RNA is filed under the name uncultured bacterium. RNAcentral describes it as "partial 16S ribosomal RNA". It matches the Rfam family "Bacterial small subunit ribosomal RNA", at positions 109 to 354 of the family's 1533-position model. The record is from RNAcentral.